Molecule: non-coding RNA, 100 nt
Filed under: Mycoplasma crocodyli
Lineage: Bacteria; Bacillati; Mycoplasmatota; Mollicutes; Mycoplasmatales; Mycoplasmataceae
Also listed under: 1 other name
Description: TPP sequence
Rfam family: TPP riboswitch aptamer (THI element)
About the family: Vitamin B(1) in its active form thiamin pyrophosphate (TPP) is an essential coenzyme that is synthesised by coupling of pyrimidine and thiazole moieties in bacteria.
Source: RNAcentral
UAUAUGUAACAAGGGUGCUUUAAUAUUUUUAUUAAGGCUGAGAAUAUACCUUAAAGCAGAUCGAGAUAAUGCUCGCGUUGCAAGUUAUUUUUAUAUAUUC